GACGAACGCUGGCGGCGUGCCUAAAACAUGCAAGUCGAACGGGGUCUUCGGACCCAGUGGCGAACGGCGGAGUAAUACAUAAGCAACGUGCCCUGAAGACUGGGAUAUACGAUGGAAACGUCGGGCAAUACCAGAUGUGGUUGGGAGGAGUCAUCUUCAUCCAAUUAAACGGAUUUAUUCGCUUCGGGAGCGGCUUGUGGCCUAUCAGCUAGUUGGUGAGGUAAAGGCUCACCAAGGCGACGACGGGUAGGGGUCUGAGAGGAUGAUCCCCUCGAGUGGGACUGAGACACGGCCCACACACCUACGGGUGGCAGCAGUUGGGAAUCUUGCACAAUGGGGGAAACCCUGAUGCAGCGACGCCGCGUGGAGGAUGAAGGAUUUCGGGUCUGUAAACUCCUUUACAGGUAAAGACUUAGGACGGUACCCUGUGAAUAAGCUCCGGCUAACUACGUGCCAGCAGCCGCGGU
This 467-nucleotide ribosomal RNA is filed under the name uncultured bacterium. RNAcentral's name for it is "bacterial SSU rRNA". It matches the Rfam family "Bacterial small subunit ribosomal RNA", at positions 28 to 521 of the family's 1533-position model. The record is from RNAcentral.